Molecule: ribosomal RNA, 1404 nt
Filed under: metagenome
Description: bacterial LSU rRNA
Rfam family: Bacterial large subunit ribosomal RNA
Source: RNAcentral
UGGAGUCGAGAGGAGAAUAAUCCAUACCAUCAGUUAAGGUCCCAAAAUACGGCUCAGUGAAAAAGGAUGUGAUUUUGCUUAGACAAUGGGGAUGUUGGCUUAGAGGCAGCCAUCAUUUAAACAGUGCGUAACAGCUGACCCAUCGAGCGAAAUUGCGCCGAAAAUGAUCGGGACUUAAGCCGUAUACCGAAGCUAUGGGUUUACCGUAAGGUAAGCAGUAGGAAAGCGUUCCAAGUGCAGCGAAGUGGAAGGGUAACCGACCAUGGAGCGCUUGGAAGUGAGAAUGCAGACAUAAGUAACGAUAAAGAUGGUUGAAUUCCAUCUCGCCUAAAUCCCAAGGAUUCCUGGGGAAGGUUCGUCCUCCCAGGGUUAGUCGGGUGCUAAGACGAGGCCGUAAGGAGUAGUCGAUGCCAAGCUGGUUUAAUAUUCCAGCACCACUCGAAACCGUUUGAUCCAUAGAGUGACGGAGAAAGUUAACAGAGCAACGUGUUGAAUCGUUGUCUACGCUCGUAGGCUGUUCGGGGAUAAAAUACCGAAUAAGGCCGUAAAGUAAUGGGACCUCAAAGCUACGGCUGAGAGGGAUUCUGUGAUACUAUGCUUCCAAGAAAAACUUUGUGGUUAGGCCAAGAGUGCCCGUACCGUAAACCGACACAGGUCGGAAAGAUGAGUAUUCUAAGGCGCGCGAGUCAAAUCUCUCUAAGGAACUCGGCAAAUUAACCCCGUAUCUUCGGUAUAAGGGGUGCCUCGAAAGAGGCCGCAGUUAAUUGCGUCAACCGACUGUUUAGCAAAAACACAGCACUCUGCUAAGUCGCAAGACGACGUAUAGGGUGUGACACGUGACCAAUGCGGAAAGGUGAAAGUCUAGGGUGCAAGCUCUGGAUCUAAGCCCCCGUGAAUGUCGGCCGUAACUAUAACGGUCCUAAGGUAGCGAAAUUCCUUGUCGGGUAAGUUCCGACCCGCACGAAUCGUGUAACGAGUUGACGACUGUCUCGGAGAGAGGCUCGGUGAAAUUGUAGUGGCGGUGAAGAUGCCGCCUACCCGCAGCAGGACGGAAAGACCCUAUGCACCUUUACUGUAUGCUGUUAUUGUCGCUUGAUUUUUAAUACGUAGAAUAGGUGGGAGACUUCGAAGCUUGGUCUCAGGAUCAGGCUGAGUCACAACGUGAAAUACCACUUUUUAAUUGUUAGGCGUCUAACCUCACACCAUUAUCUGGUUGAGGGACAGUGAUAGCAGGUCAGUUUUUCUGGGGCGGAAUCCUCCCAAAAAGUAACGGAGGAUUACGAAGGUUCCCUCGGCCCGGUCGGUAAUCGGGCUAUAGAGCGCAUGAGUAUAAGGGAGCUUUACUGUGAGACCAACAAGUCGAGCAGUUGCGAAAGCAGGUUCAAGUGAUCCGGUGGUUGAAUA